UAUUUCAGCUUUUGUGCCUGUGCUUAUUUGCUGCUUCUUUGUAAUGCUUUCCAGGGGAACAUCAAUAAGGAUUGAUACAUGUCAGCUGUGCUGAGCAGUGUAAUUAUGUGCUUGCACUGAGAAGCUAACAACUUGCUGCAGAAUGCUAGUGGGCACUUAUCUUAGUUUCCAGAUUUGUUAUGCUCUCAGCCACAUACAUGAUUAUUUACAUCAAGAGGUGAAUCAGUAAUGUAUAACUGAGCUUUCAAAAGUUAAUGUAAAUGAAGAAGGAAUCUGUGAGGAGUCAGGUCCUGUAAACUGGGCAUCAUCAGCAACAUCAUGUAAUGAAGUGCUGUAACUGCAGGUUUCUUUGCUUCAGUGCAUUUGGGAGAGGUGAAUGGAAAACACUUGAAAGAAACAUGCUGCAAGCGCUGAGGGCAUUUGUCGUACAUGGAAUGAAAAGGAAAGUUACACCCAUCCACCUUCACGUUCUUCAGCAUGUAACAUCCAGCUGUGUGGCAGAUGGCUGAUCUGUGCUUUGUCCUAUAUACAUCCACAAGGAAUUAUUCAGAAAUAUUAAACCUAAUACAGCAAUCGACUGAGCACAGUUUUGCAACUGGAUUGUACUGAGCUUUUAGAAACUGUGAAAUUGUCUUGCAUGACUCAAAGAGGACAGCUCUUCAGAAAACAGCCCUGGCUUUCAGGAACCAUUGAAGCUGCAGUUUAUGUAGCAAUAUGCAGCAAAACUCAAGUUCUCAACCCCAUGACUGUCUUGUAGGAUGAUGCCUUACUCACAACUGUCCUGGGGAAAAGGGACAGAAAUGUCCUUUGGGCCUGUAGUUGAUAUGUGAUAGUGGAUACUGGACUGAAGCAUAUGUAACACAGAAAGCUCCCUGCACUACUAUUCCCCCUUAAAGUAGGCGGUACAGGAGGAACAGGAGAGUGAGCUAAACCAGAGGGAAGUAAAAGAAGAGGAAACUUGACGGUAAGGAGCUCGAUCUGCUUCUUCUCAACAGUUCCCCAGUCUCUUCACACCCAGAGCUUGUGAGCCUAUCUCUGGCUGCUCUUCUUGGCUUUGAGUUGUGUGGGCAGAAGAAUUAGGAAGAAAAUUUUCCAGGUUUCUGGCAUCUGUUGGGCCAGAGCCUACAGUCUCUGCCCUCUGGAUUGCUGCCAGUCAGAAAAGGCAAAGUACCUGCUAUGGAUGCUCUAAUUCUGUGUGAUAUGGGGACGCUGUGGAUCUAAACAGUGUGACAUCUUUAUUCAUUCUCACUGAUACAGUUGCUCUGGCUCAAUCUGUAUACUACUGUAAUUAUUACCCUUUCUGUACUAUCAGGGAGAUAUCAGAAACAUGAAAAUGGCUCCAAAUUCCCCUAUUAAAUUCAGCUGAACUCAGUAGGAGCUUUGCUCUUCCUUCUGUACAUCAUUGGUAAUUUCAUAGUUUUGGGUAGGUGAAGUCAUGGGGUCAACCUGAGAGGGGUCUGACCAACCUCCUAGGUACCCAGGGUGCCCUUGAUGUCUCAAGGAGUUUUUGCUUGAUUCUGGAAGAAGUGAAUUCCAAUGGGCCUGGCUGUAAAGUGGCAUAUCCUGUGACUGAAGCAGGCAGCUAAUGAGAGACUGAAUCAAUACAUUGCCUUUUUAGGCUUCCAGGUCAUCCUAAAGGGAAUACUCUGUGUAGACCACAGAUAUCCUACUGUAUCUUCAGUAUUAAAUGUCUUCUGUUUAGAUGCUUGAACUCAGAAGAUAAAAAUAUUUCUUCUGCUUUUUGGAUGUUCUACCUAUGAUAGCUUGUGGGAGAGCAGAUUUUCUUCUGAUCUGCUGCUGGUAUAGUCACAUGCUUGGAAUUGUGUCACCCGUCAAACAGCAUCCUGCACCUUUAUCUGUUUGAAGUUUGAUAACACUGACUCUGAAAUGAUAGCAAAAGGCAGCAGAUGAACCAGGCUAGUCUGACCCAUGGAGUUUGCAAUUGAGACUCAUCAAUUUAUCAGGAUACUUUCUAUACUAAGUACACUGGGUUUUUUAGAACGACUUGGAGGUUUGCAAAAUGUCUUUCUGAUUCUACUGGCUACAUGACUAAAAGAACAAUGGAUUUACAGGAUGGGAUGGUUUAGCAUAUGCAAGGCUAAAUUUUGAUUGUGGGGAAAGCUGAAUAGAACUGACAAGUGCAUUACCCUCUGGAAUCAAUACAUUCAGUCUGCUGACUGUUCAGAACUGGCCUAACUUUUGUACCUGAAAUCAAUAACCAAGACUUAGUGGGAACUGCAUCUAGUAAAUAAAUAAAUAAAUAAAUAAAAAGUAAAUUUAAAAAAAAAAAUAGCUAUGUAGUGCUAUGGUUAAAUUGUCAAAGAUGACAAGGACAAGAUAGGUUCUUGUAAUGGCUAAAUAGUGCAUGCUGGAGAACUGGAGCCUUUGAAAAUAUAUCAUAUUAAAUACCAAUCUCAGAAGUAACCAAACUCAUUAUUCACAUUUAAUGAUUGUGCCAAUCAAAAUAGUUUAAAUGGUCACUGCUGUUAUAUCUCAGCUCUAGAAUAUGACAUGGACAUCAGCCCAAAUGAAUGAUUUUAUUCUUUAGACAGGAAAAAAACAAACUAACAAAAAAAAAAAACAAACAAAAAAAACCCACCAGCAUUAAAAUGACCACUGCAUGUUGUAAUAGUGGCCACUUCUAUUACUGGAGCUGACCACAUAUUUUUCUCUCGUAACUGUUUACUGGACUGUUUCUCCUGGAGUUCCUCAAGUACUUUCCAGAUUGAGACCUCUUCUGAUCUUGUUCUACUUUUGUAGCAGCUGAGUAAUUUCAAUGAAGGAAAAAAAAAAAGGAUUUGAAUAAUGAUUAUCUUCUUAUUAAAUGAUUGAGAACAGUUGAUUCUUUUUCAUGACUUUAUUCAUACCUAAGUGUAUUUUAUGAAUGAUGUAGUUAAAGCAGGCUUUCUGGUUUUUACCACCUCAUCUCUGACAUGUUAGUUGUCUUGCAUGCUGCAUGUUUUCUCCUCUUGAGUUCACCAUUAAGAAGCUCAAUUUAAGACUCCUUUCUAGUAACUCAACUUUAUUUACUCAAAGCCUUCUGUUUGCUUCAGGUAUGGUUACAAUGCAGAUGAUACUACUCUGCUGAAUGAUCACCUCUUCCUAAUGUGUAUAUAAAGUAGAUUUUUUCAAACCAAAACCUCCAGUAUAGCUUCUUGAAUACUUCAGAGCUACUCGAAUUGCUAUAAAAAAGGAUUUUCUAAGAAUAUGGAUAGUAAACAUAAUCUGACAUGCUGGUAAUGAGAAUGUCUAAAAAGCUUUCCACUGUGGGCUAACCAUUUGUUCAAAACAAACACGAGCGCAGGUUUUUAUGAAAACUCAUAAUUCCAGAGUCCAGAGUGUGUUUUCCUGCACUACAAAGCAAAAACCUGAAAAUACAAAUGUCUUCCAAACUGAAGCAAGUCUGUGAUUUCCAUUUCAGAUAAAAUGGGAGAAAUAAUCAGUUUGGUUUUCGGGCUCAUCUGCAUUGUCACUAGAUGGCACAUUGGUCUAAAGUUUCAGAACUAUCACUGUGGUGUUGAUCACAGUUAUAGCAGCUGCGUGGAAGAGCUCUAAGUUAUGUACGGGAAACAGCCAGGACAUCACUAUGCAUGUAACUGCCCUCAGUGUGUGUAUCGUAGUACAAUUGUGUAGAUGACUUUGUGAGUCUGCUGUUCCGUAUAUAACUGUUAUAUUAAAUAGAGAUGGCUGAUGUUUAGGUGCUAACAUCCAAGAUAGGUGUGAGGAGAGAAAGAAUGAAGGUGCCUGUCUGACUGCCACAUUUACACACUGGUCUGCUUUGUACUCAUAGCAGCUGGAAGUCACAUCUGGCUGUAUGCAUCAGUGCUUCCUCAGAGCAGCUUUUAUUAUGCAGAGGCUUGUAAUUAGCAGGAAGAUCUUAGGAACUCUAUCUGUAAAUGAGUAAAAUAAGUGGUAAUAUGGGGGACAAAUAAUAAGGAUUUUUGUGUUAGUCUGCAGAGAGAGGUGUAGGCUGCCUCCAGAAUCUCAACAAGGUUCUUUCAGAUGGUAUUUUAGAUGCUGUUCUGAAAAUGUUGAAAAGGGCAAGAUAGAAGCACAUUGCAUUACAUGUUGUCUUUAUUUUAUGCCAGAAUUAAGUGUGUUAUACCCUUAACCACUGGUCUUUUCACUCUGCUGUCCUUCCCUUUUGUUCUUUAUGGAGAAUCCGUUUGCCAACAUCAAGAAGCCCAUUGCAGCUUGGUAAAAUGGGUAGGUUGAUCAUGAAUUUCAGCAAUGCAUUUACAGGCCUGUUUUCUCAUUUGUAAGAAGCACUUUCAAGAGUGCAGCCACCUUCAUUUCUAAAAAUGUUAUGCCUUUUUGAGGAAUAUGCAUGUUGUUUGUUUGUUUGUUUGUUUUUGUCAGUUUUAUUGUUUCAAACUGUUUAUCUAUUUUUUGCUGUGCUUUAUCCUAUGAGGGUGAUAUUCAUAUAUGGAGAAAGAUGUAUGCUUUGGGGAUUUGAGACUACUGGGAAAUUUCACUAUCAGAAAUAAUUUCAAGUUCUGGAUUCUCAAAAACAAAGGAGAAGGCUAAUGAAUAGCAAGAGCAUGGGACUGAGGUCCAUCUCUGGAUGAUGUGCCAUUGAUUUUAUUUAUUUCGAUAAUUUCUUUUUACCUUGACUUUUACCCUGACUUUUCUCAGAUCACAAGAUAAAGCAAUGUAUGUUUGAAAACUUAUAAAAAUACAAUAAUGAAUUCCAGCUUUGGUAAGGCUGUCCUGUAAAGGAGCAGGAAACUUAUGGGAGAAUAAGUGCAUCAGGUGCAUUUUGAGUUCUAAUGCAUAGUAUGACUGAUCCUGAAUCUUAGACUAAUAAAAUCGCUUUUUAUUGCCCACCUUACAUUAUUUUUUCCUUUAUAUAUUAUUAUACAUUCAGUAUUUUGUCCUGAGAUUAGGUCUUAGAUCAGUUCACACAGUCAUCUGAUCCUUUCUCAAGAGUGAGAAAUAGCACACUUACUAUUGUUUUCCUGUAGUUGAUAGAUAUUCUUAACACCAAUCACAUGUAACUAAAAUCCACACCUUCACUAGUAAAGAAAAGUCAGAAAAGACAAAGAGAGCAUGUAAGCUGACAAAAAGCAUAGUGAAGGCAUUAAGGUUAAGGGAUUGGGGUUUUUUUGUGGCUUCUGUUGACACUUCAAAGUAUUUUAAUUUUGAAUACCAAUAAAUGAUAAAUAAUUUUAGCUCACAUAUUUUCCAAAACUGUUAUUUGGGAAAUAGAUACUGAAAAUAUCAAUAGUUUCACUCCAGUAUCCUUUCAUUCCUGAAGAGUUAAUGGAAAAAAUAUUGAUUGGUAGUUCUAGCCAGACAAAUUAACUUUGCUGAGUAGUAGCAUGCAGUGUUACUAUUCAUGAGGCAGUGUUUCACUGCUAUGGAUGUUCCUGUUACAAGUAACUCAGCCACAGCAAUACCUUUGGCAAAACGUGUUGCACUACAAUGCAAAGACACAUUACUUAAUGUGUAAGCUGUGGAAUGGUUUAUUAUGGGCAUUCCUUGGUGCUGAAUUUUGUAUAAAUUCAGAGCUCUGGAAACGAACUUAGAUUUCUUCCUCUUUGAAAAUGACUUUCUAAAGCCCCAGCAUCAGUCACAUCUCCCAAAUUAUUGGCAGUUUCCCUUCUGUACCUGUGAAAAUGACCUUCAAUGUCUCAUGACCACAAAAAUGAACUCCAGUAUGUCAGUUGAGGUUUACAAAAGUAGGAAAGUGAAAUAGUGUCAAAUAAAGGAUUUCUGGCCUUGCAUGUUCUUCAUUUGCAUCACCUUCUUUCUCCUAGGCUUUUCGGAGUAAAAUUACAAUGAAGUCUUGUGAAAUUUAAUUUCCUGCUCUCUGUUUUCUUGGGAAAAGCACAGCGAUAUUCUGUAUCUGAAAAUGUACUCUAUUUAAGCUGUCAUAUCUGGAAAAAGAAAAAAAA
Meleagris gallopavo (turkey) is the source of this 5897-nucleotide non-coding RNA. The record is from RefSeq and is a predicted model, not a curated record. Lineage: Eukaryota; Metazoa; Chordata; Aves; Galliformes; Phasianidae.